This 239-nucleotide ribosomal RNA is filed under the name Salmonella enterica. RNAcentral describes it as "partial 16S ribosomal RNA". It matches the Rfam family "Bacterial small subunit ribosomal RNA", at positions 1 to 236 of the family's 1533-position model. Lineage: Bacteria; Pseudomonadati; Pseudomonadota; Gammaproteobacteria; Enterobacterales; Enterobacteriaceae. The record is from RNAcentral.
AAAUUGAAGAGUUUGAUCAUGGCUCAGAUUGAACGCUGGCGGCAGGCCUAACACAUGCAAGUCGAACGGUAACAGGAAGCGGCUUGCUGCUUCGCUGACGAGUGGCGGACGGGUGAGUAAUGUCUGGGAAACUGCCUGAUGGAGGGGGAUAACUACUGGAAACGGUGGCUAAUACCGCAUAACGUCGCAAGACCAAAGAGGGGGACCUUCGGGCCUCUUGCCAUCAGAUGUGCCCAGAU